This is a long non-coding RNA of Amphiprion ocellaris (clown anemonefish), 727 nucleotides long. The record is from Ensembl. Lineage: Eukaryota; Metazoa; Chordata; Actinopteri; Pomacentridae.
UGAUAAUAAGGAAUUACAGUAGUCAAGCCUAGAAGUAACAAAUGCAUUGUUACGAGAAAAGCGUUUAAACGGUCAAAUCAUUUUUCUGAGCAGUGAUCAACAUUUCACGGUUCACAUUCAGUGUUAACUCUGCGUCACUAGGGAACAGAGAGAUGUCAUUUUUACAUUUAGACUUAUUUUCUGUCUUUACUAUAUUUUCAGUAACACCAAAUUUCUUACUUUCAUCUAGGUUAGUCACGAAUGACUCAGGUAAAUCCACAAUAUGACCAAGUUUACGAGCCUGUGCAGAGGUAACGGUGCACACAGGGAACAGAUUUAGUUCAGAGAGGUCAGCAGGAGCAGCCGAGGAUGAGACGGGGACCAGAACAUUACAACCAGGAGCCCCUUAUCGUAGCCAAAUCAGAGACGGACGACGGAGUGAGAGAGUAGAUGCAAAUCGUGGAACUGGCCAGGUCCUUGAUUGAUGGCGAGCUUAAUGGAGCCCUGAACCUAAAGCAAAGCAACUGCUGAAGAACUGAGUCGCACCUCUCCUGCCAGGCUGGUAGGGGGCUCUUUGUGGCCCACAAACUCUCCCCACUCAAAACCUUGAAUUGUCCGCCUUGUCCACAUACAAUCUUUUUUUCCACAAACCCCUCCUAUGCGCACUUUUCCUCCUGGACAAUCACAUUCAACCCAGACGUGGGUUACAUGAACUGUGGGUUGGGUUGGUACAUUGGAGUCAAUUUCC